UGCAGCUCCUUGCUGGUGGCAGCUGUGCUCUCUGAUCCCAAAGGACCACUAUGGUUCCAGAGGAAAGAGUGGUUGGAGAACAGGAGCAGUUUUCAGCAGAAGCAUUUGUGACUGAGAUAAGACACGGAGGAGAACUCCAUCCUCUAAGCCCAAGUGUGUUCAAAGGAGGGUUGGAGCAUCUUCCACUGACUUCACCUCUGUGAAGCUCCUCUCCUCUCUUCGUAGUGAGAACAGAGAUGGCUGUGCUCCAAUCUCAGGUAUACCAUUCAAUAAUGUCUUACGUAUGUCUACAGCCAUGCAACUGCCUCCCAGAGCAACAUCUCACAUUUCCAGGCCCCAGCAGACUUCCUGAUGUUCCUCCUCUUUCAGUACAAACCUCCGGUCCUACAGAUUGCUUUGAGGGACUGAAGUUGACUUUUGUGGAGCCAAUAAAAUGUCCCUUGGAGAGACUGGCCUUGUACCUUGUCUACAUUGUUCCCUUACAAGCUUCCUGAUUUUGUGAUCCCUUGCCGCUGGAUUACUAACCCGAUUUCUCUCUCCAUAGCUACCAAUCCUACUUUAAUAUGUGAAACCUUUUGAAAAUAAAGUUUCAAACAGGAGACUAAAAAAUCAGUAUUUCACCCCCAAAAUAUUGCUGAUCUAAAGAAGCAGCUCAAGAUCUAACUCCUUCCCCCAUCUCUCAGUCCUCUGUCCUCCCCAAAGCAUAGGAUGAAGCUGUUCUCUAAAAUUCCCUUAUCUAUCUAGAAACCGGACCUACCAAAGAGGAACACAAUUGCCUGCCUUGAAAUUUUAUUAACCAGAGACGAUUAAAAUUCAUAUCACAGAGGAAGAAUCCCAAACCAUUUCUUCUUUCUGCCCCAUUCAAUUUCCAAAGAAAAUUACUAACCAUUGUCGGAGCAUUAGGCCCAUUUAUUUCCACCUAAAAAUCAUUUAUUAUCCCUCAGAUUGCCACAUUUCCCCCAUAUUCCCUUCCCCUGUGAAGAAGGGGCUAUAAGUAUCUG
Long non-coding RNA from Symphalangus syndactylus (siamang), 1001 nucleotides. RefSeq lists it as uncharacterized. Lineage: Eukaryota; Metazoa; Chordata; Mammalia; Primates; Hylobatidae. The record is from RefSeq and is a predicted model, not a curated record.